CCGGCGGAGACGGGGGCAGUGGAGAUGGCCGCGGAGGGGCGAGCUGAGGGUCCAGCCCCGCGAAGACCGGGGCUGGCAGAGAGUGGUGGUGGGUCGAGGAGCGGCGCUCCUUGUCGGGCGUCCAUCGUGUGCCCCGCUCCUGUUUACCCCGCCUCCCUGCAAGUGUGUAUUUACAUUCACAACACAGCUCAAGUCGGACUGACAACAUCUCAAGGGCUCAGCCGCCACAUCUUGCUGGUGGCUACCUUUUCGGACCACACAGUGCCAGAUGAAGAAACAGAAAAGAAACAAAGAGGGGAAAAGUGGUAAGAUAAAAAGUAAAUCGGGAAGGGAAAUGGGGAAUGUCAAGGUUGCAAUUUAAAAGAGGGUGGUUGGGAAGGCCUCAGUAUGAGAAGAUGGCAUUUGCAGGAAGACCUGAAAGAGCUGAGGACACUGAACAGAUAACUACACUCUUCAUUGUUUAGUGCAACACUGUCCAGUAGAGGCUUCUGAGAUAAUGAGUAGGUCCUAUACCUCUGCUGUCCAGUUCUGUAGCCAUUUGGUUUUUGGGUGCUUGACAUGUGGCCAGUGGCACUGAGGAACUGUUGUAUCCCCAGGUCUAAGCGCCUGCACCUGGUGCAUUCUGGGUGAUUAAAAAGCAUUGAUGGUCUAGAAGAAACAAUACCCCAAUAGCAACAAGGACACUUAGAGCCCAGAUCUUGGUUUCUAAUACCAAUUUCCAAUUUAAAUUGAAUUAGUUAAUUUUAAUUAAUUAAAAUGUAAAUACCCACGUAGGACUAGUGUUUCUUGUAGUGUACAGCACCAGUUUAAUACAACAGUAGCGAGUACUCUGAAAUGGAUGCAUACUGCAUGUUAAAAACUAUGUGUGUUGUCAUGGAUUGAAUUAUAUCUCCCCAAAAAUGGGUAUCAAUUUGGCUGGGCCGUGAUUCCUGGUAUUUUGUGGUUGUCCUCCAUUUUGUGAUUGUAGUUUUAUAUUAAAGAGGAUUAGGGUGGGAUUGUAACAUCUGUACUAAAAUCACAUCCCUGAGCCAAUUGUAAAGGGGGUUUCCCUGGGUUGUGGCCUGCACCACCUUAUAUCUCUCAAAAAAUAAAAGGAAAGGAAAGCAAGCAGAGAGUUGGGGACCUCAUACCACCAAGAAAGAAGCAUCGGGAGCAGUGUGCUUCCCUUCGACCUGGGGUUCCGGCGAGGAGAAGCUCCUAGUCCAGGGGAAGAUUGAUGAGAAGGACCUUCCUCCAGAGCUGAAAGAGAGGGAAAGCCUUCCCCUGGAGCUAAUGCCCUGAAUUUGGACUUCUAACCUAUUAGACUGUGAGAAAAUUAAUUUCUCUUUGUUAAAGCCAUCCAUUUGUGGUAUUUCUGUUAUAGCAGCACUAGAUGAUUCAGACAUGUGUUCUCCCCCGUCAUCUUUUCAAUUGUUAUAUGAGAUGGUAGCUAUGAUUGUCACCAUGAUGAAGAAUGAAGUCCUUCAUUUGUUCAUUAAUACUUAAAAAAUUAUCAUUAAUAAUAAAACCCCCAAACCCCUUGUUGUCAAGUCGAUUCUGACUCAUAGCGACCCUAUAGGAUGGAGUAGAACUGCCCCAUAGGGUUUCCUAGAAACAGCUGGUGGAUUCAAACUGCAGACCUUUUGGUUGCAGCCGAGCUCUUAACCACUACAUCAUCAGCGCUCCAUUAUUAGUAAUAGACUUUAUUUUUGUAGGACAGUUUUAGAUUUACAGAAAAGUUGAGAAUUUAUAUAGAAAGUUCUUAUAUACUUUAUACCCAGUUUCCUCUAUUAGUAACAUCUUACCUUAAUAUGUGUUGAAAGUAAUGAGAUAAUACCAAUACAUAACUGUUAACUAAAGCCCUAGCUUAUUUAGGUUUCUUUAGUUUUUACCUAACGUCCUUUCUCUGUUCCAGGAUUCCAUCCAGGAUCCCAUAUGACGUUUAAUUACCAUGUCGCCUUAGAUUCCUCUUGGCUGUGGCAGUGCCCAUAUUUUUGAUGACCUUGACAGUUUUGAGGAGUACUGAUCAGGAGGAGAACCAGGCGUGGAUGCAGAGAAUGAACGGAAGAGGAGGGAGACCUCACGGGAGAGCCACAGAGCUGGAGGGGAAUGGAGAGAGGGUGGGGAUUCCCCACGUUUAAGAGGGCUCAGCGACCAAGGAAAUCCGGAGAAGGUGGAGGCCAGAUGCAUUAGAUACAGUGGCGUGGGGGGUGCCAUCCACUUUGAACUUGAUCUCACCUUCCAUGCUGCGGGAGCUGCAGGUUCCAUUUCCGGCCAUGUAGCUCAGCACAGCCACCACCCAUCUGUUGUGGUGGCAGCUGAGUUCUUUAGGGGCUGGAUUUCCGUCUGGUUCCGUCUCAGGUGUGAAGGGGUCAGCCAUGGAAACUUUAUUUUUAUUGACCAGUUGAGUUUAUUGUUAGGGUAACCACAGUUUGAAGUUCAUUUCCCUGGUUUGGUCAGAGUUGGAGGAGAAAGUCACCACAACAGCAUCCUCCCAGGCGGGGCCCUUUGUGUUUCCUCCUUGUGUGCAUUUCUGACCUGAAGAGGCUGGCCUGGGAGCAGGCACAAAAGUGCCGGCCUUUGGUUCAGAAAUUGCCGUGCUGAUAACGGAACUUCUCUGAGCCUCCGUUUGCUCAUUUGUGAAAGGUGAUACCGCCUACCUUGGGAACACAUGUAAAGCUGGCACUUAGCGGAGCACUUGAACACAGAGGCUGCUGUCAUGGCGGAGUCCUUGGGUGGUGCAAACAGUUAACGAACUCAGCUGCUCACCGAAAGGUUGGAGUUCCAGUCUACCCAGAGGUGCCUCAGAAGAAAGGCCGGGUGAUCUCCUGAAAACUCAGCUAUUGAGAACACAAUGGAGCACAGUUCUACUCUGACACACACGGGGUCACCAUGAGUCGGAGCUGACGGUAACUGGUAGCCAUCAUAGUAACAGCCCGGGAAAGUCCUGGGGUGAGUGCCCCAGACAGCAGUAAGGGCCACUCCUUGUCUUAGAGUUACCUCUUCUGUGAAACACUACAUGAGAUAACAUGGGUCACUGACGUGAGCAAGCCUGGGAAGUUUUAUCUUCCAGAGUUAUCUUUCUGGCAAGAACAGUGAAGGACAUCUUAUCUCCUGUGGGGUCAACAGGUUAGGAAAAGCCCCAAACAGCUCUGAUGCCUAGGGUUAUCAGGUGGCCUGCUUUCUUUUCUCGCUUUCUCUUUCAGGUGUUCUGGUGUGCACAAUAAAUCACACAGUCACCCUUGAUCCUCCGGUGACUUAUGCGGUAGUUACCGCUAUCGCUUUUUUUUCCUUAAUUUUUAAUCCAACUGUUCUUCUUUGUGCUGUGUUUUUUCUCUUUUUGCUUUGUCUCUAAUAAACGUUUUACAUGUA
This is a long non-coding RNA of Loxodonta africana (African savanna elephant), 3351 nucleotides long. RefSeq lists it as uncharacterized. NCBI's taxonomy places the organism in Eukaryota, Metazoa, Chordata, Mammalia, Proboscidea, Elephantidae. The transcript has 3 exons. The record is from RefSeq and is a predicted model, not a curated record.